CUUAAAGAAACUAUGGUUGAAUGGAGUUGUUGGGGUUUACAAUUUCAUCUUAUCCACCUUCAUAUAUCUACUCUUCUUAUUUAAUUUUCUUAUUUAUCAUAUUGUCAUGCAAACUUUCUUGGUCUACCCUUAACCCAAUCCCUUGGCGAAAAGAGCCUAUUACUAAUUACCGGCUUGCUAUCCUUAGCCUCCCCUAGCAAUUAAUAAUGCAUGAUAAACAGAAGCAAAAUACAAUCAAUCGUCCUACCCCUAUCCCUAGGUGGUAUUGAAUAAUCAAAACAUUCCCCCCAGUUCAUGACAUUACUGUACGUUCCCGUAUCAAUAAAGACAAACAACAGUUACCGAAUGAGUUAGAUGAUGAAAGCAUUUAAUACAGGUGAGGAACCCAACAAUUG
RNAcentral lists this long non-coding RNA (395 nucleotides) under Vigna radiata. RNAcentral's name for it is "long non-coding RNA (VRAD_LNC014836)". The record is from RNAcentral. Lineage: Eukaryota; Viridiplantae; Streptophyta; Magnoliopsida; Fabales; Fabaceae.